UUAAUUUUUAAUUAUAUUUAAUUAAUUGCUCUAUUUAUUUGACUUAAUUGUAUUCAUAUAAAUAGGAAAAUAGGUAAAAAAAAUCACAUUAGGGGGCACCCACCAAAUAUACACUACACAAUACUACCCCUCUCACAACAACGAGUCCUUCACACACCUACGUGAAACCACAAGAAAAUCAUAGAGAAAUAAUAUUCAUCACAAACCCACUAUCAUACGUCCAUACACAAUAAUCUCUCAUUUUACACAUGAAAAAAAUCCACAUACACAUGAUCUUCAUCACAACUAUCUAUACCAAUCACUCUACCAUAUUAUCAUCACCAUUUCAAACUAAGUUCACACACUUACACUCAUCACUCACAUAUGAGAAAAAAGCCAGUAGAAAAUAACUUGCAGAAAAAAAAUACAUCCACUUACUCAUUGAAAACCUUUAUUUUUUGUGACUUUAUUCACUAAUAAUGCUUACUAUCUAAAACCUUGCACAACUUCAUUAACAAACAAAAAUGUUAAGCCCAAAAACUAGCUAAGUUUUCAUCAUGAAUCUUUCCUUGAUCAUUACACUUGAUACACAUCUUCACCAUAAUUAAGCCAAAAACAAACUACCCAAAAAAUCAAUCUGUCUCACAAAUCAAUAAGAAUUCACUCCAGUACCUCUAACAAUGUUUAACAAAUCCGCACGGAGUCGCACCACCGAGCACAACCUCCGAUCGCCGUCGGACGCUGCCACACAAUCUCCGAUCGAGAGUCUCCCUCCGCCUCUACCGCUGGUAUAGUAUUUUUUUCAUGCUUCAAUCUUUCUUGUUAUGGUGUUUUGGUGAUCAUGAGAUGAGAACUUUUGCAUUGAAUAUUGUUGUUGUGUGUGAGCAAGGAAAAGAGAUAUUUUUACAGGGAAGGAAAAUGGAAGAAAAGGAAAAGGGGUUUGUGUUACGGAGAGAUGGAGGAAUUGUACUAUUCACGAUGCAAUUAUAUCAUGUUCCAAUGUUUUUUUUUGUUUUUUUAUUUUCUUUCCAUCACCACGUGUCGAAAGAUCAUUGGUAGUCAAAAGUCAAAAGGAGAUAGUAAUGAGGGCUUCCCCCUUUUACGUUGAUGUUAACUCUUUUUCUUAUAUAUAUAUAUUUUAUUUAUUUAUUUUUAUUUCCUCUCUUAUGAUUAAAUUAUUAUUGUAUUUUAAUUAUAUUUGUUUUAGAGUUUGUUUGGUGUUACUUUGGGCCCUUGGGCCCUCUUCCUCUUGACACCCC
Molecule: long non-coding RNA, 1238 nt
Filed under: Lathyrus oleraceus (garden pea)
Lineage: Eukaryota; Viridiplantae; Streptophyta; Magnoliopsida; Fabales; Fabaceae
Description: Pisum sativum (pea) long non-coding RNA (PSAT_LNC009441)
Source: RNAcentral